RNAcentral lists this small nucleolar RNA (109 nucleotides) under Sorghum bicolor (sorghum). Its description in RNAcentral is "snoRNA snoZ118". It matches the Rfam family "Small nucleolar RNA Z118/Z121/Z120". From Rfam's summary of the family: This family consists of several snoRNA Z118, Z121 and Z120 sequences which are members of the C/D class of snoRNA which contain the C (UGAUGA) and D (CUGA) box motifs. This family seems to be found exclusively in rice. The record is from Rfam by way of RNAcentral. Lineage: Eukaryota; Viridiplantae; Streptophyta; Magnoliopsida; Poales; Poaceae.
GCUUUGCUGUGAUGAUCUGUGCAAGGACGGUAUAUGAGCGAGGUGGAUCUUGAAGGGCCAUUCCUUGCAUGAUUACAUCCAAAACUGAUAUUGUAAAUCUGAGCAAACU